This 527-nucleotide long non-coding RNA is filed under the name Coffea arabica (coffee). Its description in RNAcentral is "long non-coding RNA (CARA_LNC003472)". Lineage: Eukaryota; Viridiplantae; Streptophyta; Magnoliopsida; Gentianales; Rubiaceae. The record is from RNAcentral.
UUUUGGGAGGCUGCUGCCAGAGGGGGGGGGGAGGGUGGAAGGAGAGCUAUUGAUGUGCAAAUUGCUACAACAACUUACUGGACAGACAUACACGCAAAGUUUAUGCAGAUGAGCUUUCGUAAUUAGCUGUCAAAGCUCUUCAGACGUUAAAAGAAAUUGUAGGGUGGAAGGAGAGCUAUUGAUGUGCAAAUUGCUACAACAACUUACUGGACAGACAUACACGCAAAGUUUAUGCAGAUGAGCUUUCGUAAUUAGCUGUCAAAGCUCUUCAGACGUUAAAAGAAAUUGUAGGUUUUCACCUACAAUAACCACUAACUACACAAUCAUGUCCUAUUUCUUAAAGAUAAUUGGAUUACUAACAUUUAAUAGAGUUGUCAGACCUUUUUAAGAUUUUUAUGUCCUUACAAUUAUUAUUAUUGUUAUUUUGGUGGGGGUAGGGUAUGGUGACAGUCAGCUGUGGUGAUUGAAAGGGACUUUAUAUAGGCAGAUACAGAUGGAAAGAGGCACAGUGACAGUCAUGUAUAAAG